Molecule: long non-coding RNA, 2043 nt
Filed under: Homo sapiens (human)
Lineage: Eukaryota; Metazoa; Chordata; Mammalia; Primates; Hominidae
Description: long independently transcribed non-coding RNA 2290, transcript variant 6 (LINC02290)
Source: RNAcentral
ACAUGCCCACACCUGUGGCUUCUGAAGCAGAGCACCAGCAGUGACAGUCCCACCAGAACCGCAUGGAAUAGAAAACUGUGCAUUUCCCUAAGGAAAGGGAAUGCCAGAGAAGGGCAGAAGGGAAAUCAGGAAGACAAAACGGUAAAUUACCUACCACAAAUCCAAUUCAUUGGUAUUUUUCCACUUACACUUAACCAAGCAACGAUUUCUCCUGGUCCCAUAAUGGAAAAGAGGGUUUAUCUAGAUUCAUAUAUACAAGACUGAAGAGUGAAGAGAGACCCAGAGAAUGUUCUAAAAUCUGCCAGUUAGCAUAAUCACACAGAGAAAUCUCUGCUUCCAGAGGAGGAGCCAAGUUCAAGUCAGAGUGUCUUCAUGUUGGAGUGGACCUUUCCUCUAUCUGUCAACAGAAUGGAUAAAUUGUGGAAGAGUAAUAUCAGAAUACUACACAUCAGUAAAAAACAACAAACUUCUGCUACAAACAAUCAACAUCGAUGAAUCUUUCAGGCAAAAGGUUAUAGAAACAGAUGAUCAGUGGCCCACGGAUUCCAGGUGAGGAUCUGGGACCCAGACAUCCAGAUAUUGAAAACACAGGGAUGGAGUCUGUAUGGAAAAAAUUAAAAUAUAGCAAAAUGUGAAAUACGGAAGAGAAAUCUUUCAAUUUCCCAAUGGAAGUGAGAAAAGAGCAAAGAAAAGUAUUGGUCUUCCAAAACAAAUAGAGGACGGAGCUGCUGCUGUUGCAUGGUGUCUAGAAACUCAGACAACUUCAUCAUUCCAUAUUUGCAUCCAAGAGAGAGAAAGAAAAACUACAAUCAUUUUCCAUUUACCCAUCAACCCAUCAACCUCCAAAGACAGGGUCUCACUAUGUUGCCCCAGUUGGCCUUGAACUGCUGGACUCAAGGGAUCCUCCUGCCUCAGCAUCCUGAGUAGCUGGGUCUACAGGCAUGAACCACCAGGCCCAGAACCCUGUCUUUUGAAAGCCAUAUGCGAUCUGUCUGCCCUGAAGUGACUACUUCAUCUCCAACCAGCCCUUGGCUGGCAAAGUCAGGAAGACUCCAGUCUUUCCUGAAGACCAGGGGAGAGUUUAUAACUCUAGCAUCAAAGUCAGCAGCUGUUCAUCUAGAAGACAACUUCCCAAAAGUCAAUGUCUUUGCCUGAAGCUUUUCUUCCCAGAUCUCCUAUGGUGAAACAACCAAAGGGAAGAAGAAUGUGGGCAGCCCUCAGUAAGACAGGAGAUGAGCAUCAACAUUGACCCAUUCUUUCUUCCAGUCCUCGAUGCUUACCUUGUACAUUCUUCUUUGUCUUCCGACUCAGUGCCUUUAGGGUAUGGACGUUGCCUGGUCCCACACAAGCCAAGCAUCAAAUGGAUGGCUCAACAAGGAGGCCAAGACCAGCUAAUGUUUAGUGAGCACCCAAAGGGGCCACACUGGAGAGAACAGCACAGCUCCGUCUGAGAAACAGCUGUUCCUUCCUGCCUGAGAGGCAGAGUGAUAGAAGAUAUCACAGAAUGUUGCUGCUUUGUCUUCCACCCUGAACCCUCCACGACCUCCCUGUAGCUUCCUGAUUUUAAGUAGACAUCAAAUGAUUCUUAAUCCUUUCUGGGUCUUGGAACGAUUUGAAAAUUGUCAACAGUACUGGGAUUCCCAGAAUAAUGCACAUAUGUACAUACUCAGAUAUUCCCCAAGCCCUGGAUAUAAUUUUAAGGGAGUUCACAGACCACACUCCCCCACCCAUCUGUGGACCCAGAUUCUGUGGGUUCGAGAUUCAGAAGCCCUGUUUCUAGGCAGGCCCUCUGUUGCUAACGCCCCUCGAGAACAUCACCCUAGAUGAUUAUCCCUUCUUCCUCCACUCCUUCCCACCUUCUCCAACUGCUGGGUUUCAGCACAAAGAUUGCUUGCCAGUUAAACUGGCACCAUGGACCGCACAGUAGUUGUUUCUUGGGUCUAGAGGAAACAGCCAGAUUCCUUUAAGUAAAUCAUGUCUUAGUUAUUGAUUGUCUCCACUUGAAGUUUUUGACAAUCUCUGAUUAAAUCAUAAACCACUGCA